This 835-nucleotide long non-coding RNA is filed under the name Volvox carteri. RNAcentral describes it as "long non-coding RNA (VCAR_LNC000265)". The record is from RNAcentral. Lineage: Eukaryota; Viridiplantae; Chlorophyta; Chlorophyceae; Chlamydomonadales; Volvocaceae.
GCAGCAUCACCGUGGUCUCCCCACAACCUGUGCCCCCGUGUCUUCCCACGGCAACCCGACGAGUUCAAACACGGCUGUAGUUUGGGUAUCCGUAAAAGAAGUCCGCUAGACAGCUCGAGUUCCUGCCUCCUGGCGGGCGAAUAACUGAACCGCAGUGCUGCAAACGGUUAAACCGACAACCGUUAGCAGUGACUAGGGUAGUCAGCUUCCUUGGAACCGAAAAGGGCUCGGCCCCGGUGCAGCCAGUGCAGCCGCAGUAGGAGGUCCUCGUGCUGUCCUCGACAGACUCGCUAAGGAGGCAACACAUCCCUGGAGGCCGUGGACUGCCUGCCGCAUUCAUCGCAAGCACGCUGGGCUUUCGGCAAUGUUAGACCAGGAAGAUGGCCAUGGCGAACAUACAUACAUCGGCAGUGGGCCGCUGCUGCAGCGCGGCUUGCCGUCGUCACCUAUGAAUGAAUGUUGCAAAGCGAAGUGGUGCAUAUUGCUGGCUGCUGUUUGCUGUACCACGGCGACCAGGAGAAGCGGUGCGAGGCCGCGAGCGGCGGAGGAUGUCAAAGCCAUGGCCCGCGGGAAGCUGUAUCUUCACGCACAAAGUAUGUGAAUUAACUCCUUCAGUAAAUCGAUAGAAAUUUUUAGUAGCUUUAAAUGCAAUUCUCAGUUCAGCGUGGCAUGCGAGUUCACCAUGAGACACGACGCUAACUGACUGUCUGACUGACUGGCUGACUGACAGCAGUGAACCCCGGUGGUUUGACCGCCCAAAAAGCAGACUCUCGCACCACAACACCAGAUGGGUUAUUAUUUACAGCCUGAAAAUGGCUGUAAUUACUCCAGACGG